UACAGAGGAUGCAAGCGUUAUCCGGAAUGAUUGGGCGUAAAGCGUCUGUAGGUGGCUUUUUAAGUCCGCCGUCAAAUCCCAGGGCUCAACUCUGGACAGGCGGUGGAAACUACCAAGCUGGAGUACGGUAGGGGCAGAGGGAAUUUCCGGUGGAGCGGUGAAAUGCGUAGAUAUCAAGAGGAACACCUGCGGCGAAGGCGGGUUGCUGGGCCGACACUGACGCUGAGGCGCGAAAGCCAGGGGAGCGAACGGG
Molecule: ribosomal RNA, 253 nt
Filed under: uncultured bacterium
Lineage: Bacteria
Description: partial 16S ribosomal RNA
Rfam family: Bacterial small subunit ribosomal RNA
Source: RNAcentral